This 113-nucleotide ribosomal RNA is filed under the name Cercospora capsici. RNAcentral describes it as "partial 18S ribosomal RNA". It matches the Rfam family "Eukaryotic small subunit ribosomal RNA", at positions 1721 to 1831 of the family's 1831-position model. Lineage: Eukaryota; Fungi; Ascomycota; Dothideomycetes; Mycosphaerellales; Mycosphaerellaceae. The record is from RNAcentral.
CAGGGAGGUCGGCAACGACCACCCAGGGCCGGAAAGUUGGUCAAACUCGGUCAUUUAGAGGAAGUAAAAGUCGUAACAAGGUCUCCGUAGGUGAACCUGCGGAGGGAUCAUUA